Molecule: long non-coding RNA, 822 nt
Organism: Lynx canadensis (Canada lynx)
Lineage: Eukaryota; Metazoa; Chordata; Mammalia; Carnivora; Felidae
Exons: 2
Source: RefSeq, a predicted model, not a curated record
GAGAUCGUGAUCUGUGGUGAAACCAAGAGUCGGAUGCUUAAGCGACUGAGCCACCCAGGCGCCCCUGGGUCUGUAUCUCCUUUUUGUCUCUAGAUAUAUUGAAGAGUUUUCAAUUAAAAUUUCCCGGUGGAAGGGUCUUUUCAUUUUUAAGACCUGGUUUCGUUGCAUGAUACCGUAGAAUGCUGCCUAUGUGAUUUCUAUUUCUUGGGACUUAUUCAGCCUGUAGCCCUGAUCAUCCCCGUCCUCGACCCCAGCAGGCCUUGUCCACAGGCCACAGCCUGGCCCCUCCCUGGGACGCUGCUCAGACCAGCAGGAUUUUGUGGUUGUGCAGAGUCCAAAACUGUGCACAGUUUUCGGCCUGGAGUCCAAAAGGAGGAGGACCUCACGUUCCUUGCGUCUGAAGAAAGAACUGGCUUGUUCGUCCCUGGUCCUCUCUGUCCUCCGGCCCUCCUGCCCAGCGCUGCCACCUGCUGAAGACAACGGCCAGGCCGCCUCCUUCCUGAUCUUCCACCGCUGUGGGUCUCGGUCCCUCCUCUUCCUCUCUCCACCCGGAGAGCCCUCUUUUCUCUGACUCGGGCCCAGGACUGUGUCCCUGGGGUUGUUUCUGAGCGGGCAGGGCAGGACCAUGGCUGGGAAGGAUCGGGAAGCCCUGACAUGCUUGGUCUAGGAAGCAGAGCCCCGGGGAAAGCCAACGGACCAGCCACACUUUCCACCCCUUUGGACCCAGGGCUGGACCACGGGGAGAGGGUGCUGGGCACUGUGCCAAUCACAUUACGUAAGCAAGCAGUCUAAGAACAAAACAGAAUAAAAAGUUGAAGCCAU